AAAAAAAAAAAAAAAAAAAGAAGAAAAAGGCAAAAAGCUUCAGAAAGUAAUUUACCAUGGCAACCUCUGCUAUCCAACACUCUGCAUUUGCUGGGCAGACCGCUUUGAAGCAAUCCAAAUGAGCUCGUCCACAAGAUUGGUUCCUUCGGCGGCGGUCGCGUUUACAUGCGCAGAACGGUCAAGAGUGCUCCACAAAGCAUUUGGUA
This 206-nucleotide unclassified non-coding RNA is filed under the name Hevea brasiliensis (rubber tree). The record is from RNAcentral. Lineage: Eukaryota; Viridiplantae; Streptophyta; Magnoliopsida; Malpighiales; Euphorbiaceae.